This 226-nucleotide ribosomal RNA is filed under the name uncultured bacterium. RNAcentral describes it as "partial 16S ribosomal RNA". It matches the Rfam family "Bacterial small subunit ribosomal RNA", at positions 122 to 354 of the family's 1533-position model. The record is from RNAcentral.
CAAUCUGCCUUGGAUGGGAUAACGUUGGAACAGCCGCUAAUACCGCAUGAUACAGCUAUCCCGNAUGGGUUGCUGUCAAAGAUUUAUCGCUCUGAGAUGAGCUCGCGUCUGAUUAGCUUGUUGGCGGGGUAACGGCCCACCAAGGCGACGAUCAGUAGCCGGACUGAGAGGUUGGCCGGCCACAUUGGGACUGAGACACGGCCCAGACUCCUACGGAAGGCAGCAG